Molecule: ribosomal RNA, 496 nt
Filed under: uncultured bacterium
Lineage: Bacteria
Description: partial 16S ribosomal RNA
Rfam family: Bacterial small subunit ribosomal RNA
Source: RNAcentral
AUGAACGCUGGCGGCGUGCCUAAUACCUGCAAGUCGAGCGAACAGACGAGGAGCUUGCUCCUCUGACGUUAGCGGCGGACGGGUGAGUAACCCGUGGAUAACCUACCUAUAAGACUGGGAUAACUUCGGGAAACCGGAGCUAAUACCGGAUAAUAUAUUGAACCGCAUGGUUCAAUAGUGAAAGACGGUUUUGCUGUCACUUAUAGAUGGAUCCGCGCCGCAUUAGCUAGUUGGUAAGGUAACGGCUUACCAAGGCGACGAUGCGUAGCCGACCUGAGAGGGUGAUCGGCCACACUGGAACUGAGACACGGUCCAGACUCCUACGGGAGGCAGCAGUAGGGAAUCUUCCGCAAUGGGCGAAAGCCUGACGGAGCAACGCCGCGUGAGUGAUGAAGGUCUUCGGAUCGUAAAACUCUGUUAUUAGGGAAGAACAAAUGUGUAAGUAACUAUGCACGUCUUGACGGUACCUAAUCAGAAAGCCACGGCUAACUACGUG